UGGCUCAGGACGAACGCUGGCGGCGUGCCUAAUACAUGCAAGUCGAACGCUUCUUUUCCCACCGGAGCUUGCUCCACCGGGAAAAGAGGAGUGGCGAACGGGUGAGUAACACGUGGGUAACCUGCCCAUCAGAAGGGGAUAACACUUGGAAACAGGUGCUAAUACCGUAUAACAAUCGAAACCGCAUGGUUUCGUUUUGAAAGGCGCUUUACGGUGCCGCUGAUGGAUGGACCCGCGGUGCAUUAGCUAGUUGGUGAGGUAACGGCUCACCAAGGCCACGAUGCAUAGCCGACCUGAGAGGGUGAUCGGCCACAUUGGGACUGAGACACGGCCCAAACUCCUACGGGAGGCAGCAGUAGGGAAUCUUCGGCAAUGGACGAAAGUCUGACCGAGCAACGCCGCGUGAGUGAAGAAGGUUUUCGGAUCGUAAAACUCUGUUGUUAGAGAAGAACAAGGGUGAGAGUAACUGUUCACCCCUUGACGGUAUCUAACCAGAAAGCCACGGCUAACUACGUGCCAGCAGCCGCGGUAAUACGUAGGUGGCAAGCGUUGUCCGGAUUUAUUGGGCGUAAAGCGAGCGCAGGCGGUUUCUUAAGUCUGAUGUGAAAGCCCCCGGCUCAACCGGGGAGGGUCAUUGGAAACUGGGAGACUUGAGUGCAGAAGAGGAGAGUGGAAUUCCAUGUGUAGCGGUGAAAUGCGUAGAUAUAUGGAGGAACACCAGUGGCGAAGGCGGCUCUCUGGUCUGUAACUGACGCUGAGGCUCGAAAGCGUGGGGAGCAAACAGGAUUAGAUACCCUGGGUAGU
This 804-nucleotide ribosomal RNA is filed under the name uncultured Enterococcus sp. Its description in RNAcentral is "bacterial SSU rRNA". It matches the Rfam family "Bacterial small subunit ribosomal RNA", at positions 20 to 794 of the family's 1533-position model. The record is from RNAcentral. Lineage: Bacteria; Bacillati; Bacillota; Bacilli; Lactobacillales; Enterococcaceae.